CCAGGCUUAAGUGCAAUGGCUCGAUCUCGGCUCACUGCAGCCUCCGCCUCCCAGGUUCAAGCUAUUCUCCUGCCUUAGCCUCCUGAGUAGCUGGGACUACAGAGGUUCCCCACCAUACCCAGCUAAUUCUUUUUUGCAAUUUUAGUAGAGACAGGGUUUCAUCAUGUUGCUGAGGCUGGUCUUGAACUCCUGACCUCAAGUGAUCCACCCACCUCUGUCUUCCAAAGUGUUGGGAUUACAGGCACAAGCCACCACGCCUGGCCCAUAAUUUAUUUUAUUUUAUUUUUAAGUUCCGGGGUACAUGUGCAGGAUGUGCAGGUUUGUCGUAUAGGUAAACUUGUGCCAUGGUGGUUUGCUGCACAGAUCAACCCAUCCCCUAGGUAUUAAGCCCAGCAUGCAAUUAGCUAAUUUUCCUAAUGCUCUCCUUCCCCCUGUCCCCCACAACAGGCCCCAGUGUAUGUUGUUCCUCUUCCUAUGUCCAUGUAGAAAAUAAUUUUUUACCACAGCCAUUGUAGUGAACAGCAAAGCCUAUCUCUUCUGAUAAGAAACAGUAUCCAGAGGUACAAAACAUAGAAAUACCCCCACCUUUCCUUCAGAUUCAACAUUCAGCUGACAUUUACUGAAGUCCCAGUCUGUGCCAUGCAUGUUGCUAAAUGCCUUCCAUUUGUUAUUUGAUUUAAUUAAUUCCUUCCCACAACCCUGUAAGGUAUUAUUCCUUUUGCAGGAGAUCAACUCUCAAUGAAAUUCUAGCCCAAGGUCACACAGCUGGUGUGACAGAAAAGAAUCCACCCUCCAUUCUCAUUCUGGAAUAACAAGAUGUUCUUUGGCAGAGGGCUCAGAUCACAUCAAGACUGCACGAUACAGCCACACGUCCUUCUGCUGCUGGGAUCCCCUGGAAUAAAACCAAGAAAAGACUAAAGGAGUGUCAAGCAAGAAGGCUGAGAGGUGUCCCCCUGGGGUGGCUGUGCUGCUGCCACCGAAGGCCAUAGCUGGAUAGCAGAGCUGAGUCUAGAAUCCAGUCUCCAGACCCGCAGCCCCUGGGAGCAGCCCAGUGCUGUAAAGAGCACACACCUUGCGCUCAGACUCGAGCACAGAAAGCCCGAUGCUGCAUGCUUUUUGAUAACCCAGCACCGCAGAAACCUCCCCUGGUGUUAACUGCUGGAGAGACAAAGGGGCCUGAAAGUGCCCCCAAAACAGGAUAGACAGGAUAGGGGUUAGGCUUGCAGAUAUUGCUGACACUCCCCAGUUCCUGGGCCAGCUUUGGCCUAGAAUCUCUCUCAGUGUAAGCUUCUUUGGAGAGUGGAGUUGGUGGGUGGAUUCAGAGAGAGGCCCUGCUGUGAUUCUUGGGAGGCUACGUGAGCCCUGUCUGCCAGCUGCCUCCAAGUGCUGCCGUGAAGGGAGGCUGGGAACGGCUUUGGGAGGCAUCCAGGAGGUGUUGCUGCUUUGGCCCCUGAGUUCCAGGAACUGAAGGAGCAAACGACUGUUUCACUCCUCAUUGGCUGAUUUCCAGCCUCAGACACAACAUUGGUUCUAUCAAAAGGUGCAGGUGGGCAGUGACUAGGGGCUAACACACAUCUAGUUGGAAGUUGUUUUAACAACUAGUUAGGGCACCAGAUUCCUCCUGGCUCUGAUCACCAUCACCUGCCGGGCCUCGUUGGCAGCUCUGGCCCCUGCUUGGCUCUGUAGCUCCAAGAGAGCAGCCCGAUGAGAUGGGAUAGCAGGUGGCCCAGAGUGGGUGGGGGAAGCAGGUAACCACCUGUUACCAGAGAGGACUCAGCACCAUACACACCCAGCUUCCGCAGCCUCAAUGACUUCCCCCCCCCCAGCUUGGCAGAGACUUUGGGCCUCUCCUGGAUUCAGAUCCCUGGAAGGUGUUCUGCAUCCAGGAGAUGAGCAGGAACAUGGAACAGAUGUAGAUGUCAGUCACCUCGCUGUGUGAAAGCCAUAGAAAAGCCCUCUCAUCUGUCAGAUCCAGUUGCCUGUGAAUAAAGCUGUCUUUAUCUUUUUAA
This is a long non-coding RNA of Callithrix jacchus (white-tufted-ear marmoset), 2009 nucleotides long. RefSeq lists it as uncharacterized. The record is from RefSeq and is a predicted model, not a curated record. NCBI's taxonomy places the organism in Eukaryota, Metazoa, Chordata, Mammalia, Primates, Cebidae.